GAUGAACGCUAGCGGCAGGCUUAACACAUGCAAGUCGAACGGCAGCACAAACUUCGGUUUGGUGGCGAGUGGCGAACGGGUGAGUAAUGCAUCGGAACGUGUCCUGAAGUGGGGGAUAACGCAUCGAAAGAUGCGCUAAUACCGCAUAAUCUCUGAGGAGAAAAGUGGGGGAUCGAAAGACCUCAUGCUUUUGGAGCGGCCGAUGUCUGAUUAGCUAGUUGGUGGGGUAAUGGCCUACCAAGGCGACGAUCAGUAGUUGGUCUGAGAGGAUGGCCAGCCACACUGGGACUGAGACACGGCCCAGACUCCUACGGGAGGCAGCAGUGGGGAAUUUUGGACAAUGGGCGCAAGCCUGAUCCAGCAAUGCCGCGUGAGUGAAGAAGGCCUCGGUU
RNAcentral lists this ribosomal RNA (392 nucleotides) under uncultured bacterium. RNAcentral's name for it is "bacterial SSU rRNA". It matches the Rfam family "Bacterial small subunit ribosomal RNA", at positions 28 to 424 of the family's 1533-position model. The record is from RNAcentral.